This is a non-coding RNA of Pelodiscus sinensis (Chinese soft-shelled turtle), 1079 nucleotides long. NCBI's taxonomy places the organism in Eukaryota, Metazoa, Chordata, Testudines, Trionychidae. The record is from RefSeq and is a predicted model, not a curated record.
UGAAAAAAACAACAAAUUUCUGAGAGGCCGUCGGACAUAUGGCAGCAUCUUUUCAUCAUUACUGAGCUCAGUCGGAGUCAAACUGAUAAUUUAGAGAGAAAAGACUUCCUACAGCAUGAGAAAUCCUCAGAGCCAUCUAGUCCUCAGUUGUUAUAAUGCCAGUUGUUAUAGUCCCCUCCAGACUGCAUGAUUUAAAAACAAACAAAAAAAAACAAAAAAACAGCUGGUUCAAAAUACCGUUCAGAAGAGGCACAAAAAUAUAUUCUAAACACUACCAGGAGUAGAACUGGCAUCAGACUCUGGUUAAGAAGAGAGAAUGGAAAAAAUAGGGGGCAAGCUACCACACUAAGGCCCCCACCACAUUACAAGUAAAUGGAGUCUGAGAACUAGCACCUCUUUAGACAGAUUAGGAGGACAUGCAAUUGGAAAUCCCUCCUGAAGUCAUCAAGAUUCAGGGCAGCUCUAUGCUACUACAAUUGGAAACAAUCAGUCAAAAGCUGGAUGCCAAAAAGCAUAUUUUGCAUAAAACUCCAAGAGAAAUAUUAUUCAAAGAAGUAUUGUAGGCAUGUUUCCUUUUUCACAUGUUGAUUCUAACUGAACCAUUUCCAGGUGCUUUUUAUCCACGAUUACAAAGAUGACAUGUUAGAAGGAAAAGUGUAAACCCAGAGAUAACAAGACAAAUGCAAACUCUGUGAAGCAAACUUGAACUCACUGAUUCAUGAGAGGAAGAACAGAUAUAAAAAUUAGUGAAAGCUGCUUGCCUUUUUUCACGGCCUGAUGUAUUCUGCUUUGAAAUCUGGAACUGCAAACAGAGAAGAACAGACGAGUCCACUUCUAGAGAUAAGCUAUCAGCAGCAAGACAGCUUCCCUUCUCUUGCUGCCGUCCUGCAGUUUCUCUAAAAAUGCAACAGACCCUCAAAAAGGAUUGAAUUACCUGUGGAAACCCAUUGUCAAGGCACUGUCAAAUUGCUAAUUUCACAAUCUCAGAAUGAGACUUGAACUGCAGGGAAUUAUGAAAAGCAGCCAUCCAUUUCUCUUUGACAGUUGUCAGUUCCCACAUACAUUAUUUUGUUACUUAU